AAGCUUUGACUCUUCCUAUAUAAGAAAAGCUGGAGGCAGGAGACCCACCACAACCCAAUCUCGCACGGACCCUAGAAAGGGAGGCAUCUCCGAUGGGUGAUCUUGGCAACACAGGCGCUGUUGCGUGUAUCCGGUAUUCAUUCAUUCGAUUCUCGCUAUUAUAUCAGCGCAUGUGUUUUCAGGUCACCCCUUUGAGAUGAUCAUACUCUUUUCCUUCCACAUAUCGAUAAUGACCCUCCCAAAUUAAUCGGCAUGGCUUCUUUGUCUCGUUGAGAUCAGGUGACUUGCUUUUAGGAUUCAACAUGGUGAUUGAGGUGCUUUGGAAAUUCAUUUUCAUGAUUGUACUAAGCUUCUUUUUCCAUAUUUGUAAUAAGAAUCUCAGUGCCAAUUUUUUGUCGCCAUUAUUUCUAGGGAAGUAUACUACAAUUAUGUAAAACUACUGAUUGUUGCUCUAGCUGCUUCCUCUGGUCACGACGAGUUGAGAUUAAAGUGCUCGUUAGUGAUUCACCCGAGUAGAGCAUGAGUGAGGUCAUAAAAACCUCUUGGACCAGAGGUGGUGUAGAAGAAGUAAAGUCUCUCCAAUUCCUCCUCACAGUUUGGAUGAUCUUGCACAGGUUGACAGUUUGAUGUGGUGCAAUUUUAUGCCAAAAUCUCAAGGCACAAGUGGUCAAUAUGAAGAAAUGGCUUUACGUCUGAAAUGUAUGCCGACCCUUGCCAGCCACAAGUGAGGAUGUGGGUGCUCCGUCCCUUGCCUAGAUCUAGCGAGGGCCGCAACGCCCUUGCCAAAUCUGGCCAGACGAGGGCAUGGCGGCCCUCACUUGAUCUGGGCCUGCCUAAUGCUAGUGAGGGUCAGCCGGCAACCAUCACCAGCCUAAAUGGAGGAAAAAAAAAAUAAAGAAAAGCAAAGAAAGAGAAAGAAUUAUAAAAUAUUACUAAUUGGUUGUGGAAGUGUUGUAGAGAGAAUAUGAGAAAACUGUACCAGGCAACUUGAGAAACAUUUAUACCUAAUUGUAGUACAAGUAUAACACUCCAAUAAAUCCCACAACUAUUACAUUUUAAUUUUCUUGCCCCCACACACAAAACACUUAAAGCAAACUAGCUUUUAUGAAGACACCAGCAACUCUUAUUUUUCUCUCCCUUACGGACGGGCAACUUUCUUUUUUUCUAAUUGUGAAGCUAUUGCCGUUGCGGCUUUUGUGUGGUUUUCACCAAAGCUCAUCGUUUUGUGGCUUGCCAAAUGAAUGCUUCUGAUGGCCUUAAUUCAUAGCUAGGAUAAAUACCAAAUUAGUCUUAAAUUUAUUGUACGUAUGUCAAUUCAGUCAUAGCUUUUUUAAUUUUCUAAAUGUAGUCUUAAAUAUUUGCAC
This 1364-nucleotide long non-coding RNA is filed under the name Eucalyptus grandis. RNAcentral describes it as "long non-coding RNA (EGRA_LNC006684)". Lineage: Eukaryota; Viridiplantae; Streptophyta; Magnoliopsida; Myrtales; Myrtaceae. The record is from RNAcentral.